CCUACGGGAGGCUGCAGUGGGGAAUAUUGGACAAUGGGGGCAACCCUGAUCCAGCCAUGCCGCGUGUGUGAAGAAGGCCCUCGGGUUGUAAAGCACUUUCAGUGAGGAAGAACGCCUGGUGGUUAAUACCCAUCAGGAAAGACAUCACUCACAGAAGAAGCACCGGCUAACUCCGUGCCAGCAGCCGCGGUAAUACGGAGGGUGCGAGCGUUAAUCGGAAUUACUGGGCGUAAAGCGCGCGUAGGUGGCUUGAUAAGCCGGUUGUGAAAGCCCCGGGCUCAACCUGGGAACGGCAUCCGGAACUGUCAAGCUAGAGUGCAGGAGAGGAAGGUAGAAUUCCCGGUGUAGCGGUGAAAUGCGUAGAGAUCGGGAGGAAUACCAGUGGCGAAGGCGGCCUUCUGGACUGACACUGACACUGAGGUGCGAAAGCGUGGGUAGCAAACAGGAUUAGAUACCCUUGUGUC
Molecule: ribosomal RNA, 464 nt
Filed under: Vreelandella stevensii
Lineage: Bacteria; Pseudomonadati; Pseudomonadota; Gammaproteobacteria; Oceanospirillales; Halomonadaceae
Description: partial 16S ribosomal RNA
Rfam family: Bacterial small subunit ribosomal RNA
Source: RNAcentral